This 4913-nucleotide long non-coding RNA is filed under the name Homo sapiens (human). RNAcentral's name for it is "HSALNT0141121". The record is from RNAcentral. Lineage: Eukaryota; Metazoa; Chordata; Mammalia; Primates; Hominidae.
GUUUUGGUUACAUGGAUGAGUUCUUUAGUGGUAUAUUCUGAGAUUUUAGUGCACUUGUCACCUGAGCAGUGUACAUUGUACCCAAAAUGUAGUCUUUUAUCACUCACCCUCUUCCCAACUUCCCCUUCAUCAGUCCCCAAAGUCCAUUGUAUCGCUCUGUAUGUCUUUGAGUCUUUAUAGCUUAACUCCUACUUAUAAGUGAGAACAUAACAGUAUUUCGUUUUUCAUUUCUGAGUUACCUUCUUAGAAUAAUGGCCUCCAGGCUGGGCGUGCUGGCUCAUGCCUGUAAUCUCAGCACUUUGGGAGGCCAAGGCAGGCGGAUCACGAGGUCAGGAGUUCGAGACUAGCCUUGCCAACAUGGCGAAACCCCAUCUCUUCUAAAAAUACAAAAAUUAGCUGCGCAUGGUGGUGGGUGCCUGUAAUCCCAGCUACUUGGGAGGCUGAGGCAGGAGAAUCAUAUGAGCCCGGGAAGUGGAUGUUGCAGUGAGCUGAGUUUGUGCCAUUGCCCUCCAGCCUGGAUGACAAGAGCAAGACUCUGUCUCAAAAAAAAAAAAAAAGAAAGAAAGAAAGAAAAAGAAAAGAAAAAGAAUAAUUGCCUCCAGCUCCAUCUGAGUUGCUGCAAAGUACAUUAUUUUGUUUCUUUUUAUGGCUGAGUAGUAUUCCAUGGUGUAUAUAUAUCACAUUUUCUUUAUCCACUUGUUGGUAGAUGGGCACACUUAGGUUGGUUCCAUAUCUUUGCAAUUUCUUGCACUUUGUUUUGAUGAGGUGGUUACUAAGUAUAGCUGGUUCAAUUUGCAUAAUCUCAGUGUGACUAAGUCACAUGACUUCUAUGUAUUGAGGGCCUCCUCUAAGCCAGGCACCACUUACCAGAAUCUCAUCUGCAUGAUUUCUCAUAAUCACAACACCUUGAAGUGCAGAUUCUAUUAUGCCCUCAUCCUAACAGAGACCAGGAGAGGUUAAAGAACUUGUCCAGUGCCAGGUCUUCCCUCCUGCCCAGUCCCCUGACCUCCACCCGCCAUGCUGCUUCUAGGCCUGCAUUCCCAACACCCCCUCUUCCUGGUUGCAGAAUCUUGGGUGAUGCACCAUGUGGAUCCCAGAUCUCACUGAAUCCCUUUCCUGUACACUCCUGCAGCACCUCAAGUAACAGUCCAAGCCUCUCAGCCCGACUCACCUCAUUUUCUGCUCCUCCCACCUUAAGCUUGGGAUCCAGCAACACUUAACUGCUUCUGGGUGACAGGAUCCCCAGGCCCCGCCACACCUCUGUGCCUUUGUGCCUGCUGCUCCCUUUGCCUGGAACACCCUCUCCUUGUUUUUCUACUUGGCAGGCACCUUAUAUCCUUUGAGUCUUAGCUCUUCUGUGAAGGCUUCCUGAUGCCGCCAUGUAGACUUGAGAACUCAUUCCUUUGGGCCCUCAUAGUGCCUGUGGGCCUCUGUUACAGCUUUUUCUGACAGGGAACAUUUCACCCAGAGACACAAACACACACACAGGGAGAUGCCAUGUAGAACAUAAAGAGGCAGAGAUCACGGAGAUGCAUCUACAAGCCAACGAACACCAAAGAUUGCAUCAAACCACCAGCAGCUAGGAGAGAGGCGUAGAACAGGUCCUCCCUCACUGCCCUCAGGAGGAACCAACCCUGCCAGCUACUUGGUCUCGGACUUCCAGCUGCCAGAACUGUGAGAUCAGAGAUCUCUGUUGGUUAAGCCACCCAGAUUGCCAUACUUUGUUAUGGCAGCCCUAGCAGGCUACUAGAGGCUUCAACCUGAAGUUAGCAAGACCGAGCAGAUGAGAGUGGAGAAUGGGUGUUGCUUGGGAAGUGCCCAGGGCUGGCUUGUUUGCAUGGAGACUUGAGGAACCAUUCACAAUUCCUGGGGAUUCACACAUAAAGAAAGAACAUCAGCAGGAACCCUGAGCCACCAUGUAACAAGUCCUGCCACCCUGCUGGAGAUGCCAUGUGGAGAAGCCUGGAGAGGAAGAAGCCCCAAGACUAUGGAGAGAGGGGCCUGCUGUCCUAGUACCGGGGCUGAGCCCAGCCUCCCAGCCACCUUCACCAAAGAACAGGAGAAGACAUGCACAUGGAGCCUUCUGGGAUGUUUCUGCCCCAGCAUUUGAUGGCACAUGCAAGAGAUCAUGAGUAAGGACAGAAGAAAAACUGACCACUGAGCCCCAGACGACCCAUAGUACCUUUGGUUAAGAGUAGACAAGGCAGACAUCUGAGCCUGCAUGACUCAGCAAGUUUAGGGUGCAGGCACAUACUCCACUUGUUGUAUAACCUGUUUGUGUAAGCUGAUACUUGCCUUGGAGCCACUAUUGUCUGUAAAAGGUAUAACUGCCCUGCUGACACUGUGCAUGGGGGACAUGGCUUGGCUUGGCUCUUGGGCAUGGCUUGACAUGGCUCUUGCGCUCAUGCCCAGAGAGAGAAGGAGAUAAACUGCUGACCCUGAAGGGAGAGCUGGCCACACAGCUGUGCGUGGGGGCAGCCGCAGCAAGCAGCCGAGACAGAACAGACAGUGUAGAAGAGCUGCUGAUGAGCGAGCUGCUGAAUAAAGCCAUAUUUCCCCUACUGACAGCCCCCCGAGUGUUGUUUCAGCUAUCUGCCAUUCAUCCACCCACUUCCUUCAGACCUCAGCAUGGGCUGGAACUUGGACUUGAACCUGACACAGAAGAAGCAAGAAAAUAGUUGUUUGGCUGGGUGCGGUUGCUCACACCUGUAAUCCCAGCACUUUGAGAAGACAAGGUGGGCAGAUCACUUGAGCACAGGAGUUCAAGACCAGCCUGGGCGACACAGAGAAACCGUCUCUACUAAAAAUACAAAAAUUAGCUAAGCAUAAUGGUGCGCACCUGUAAUCCCAGCUAUUUGUGAGGCUGAGGCAUGAGGAUUGCUUGAACCCGGCAGGGGGAGGUUGCAGUGAGCCAAGAUGGCACCAAUGUACUCUAGCCUGAGUGACAGAGGGAGACUCUGUCUUAAAAAAAAAAAAAUAGUUGUUUAUAAGCCCUUUCUAUUUUGAUAUAAUUAUAAACUUACAGAAAAGAUAUAAAAAUAACACCCCAAAAAAUCCCACAUCUUUCAUCCAAAUUGCCCAAAUGUUAAACAAUUGCAGGAGGACAGGGCAAAUGUUAAAAGUUAAAAGUAAGUUGCAUACCCCUAUAUAAGGCAAUGUGUAUCUCCUAAAAGCAAGAAAAUUCUCUUACAUAAACACAGUAUAAUUAUAAAAGCCAGAAAAUUACAUUUUUAUAAUGCUAUUAUCUAAUCUACAGACCUUGUUCAAAUUUUGCCAAUUGUCCCCAAAAUGACCUUUUUUAGCAAAAGAAAAUCCUGGAUUAUGCAUUGCAUUCUCUUGUCAUGUCUGUAUAACCUCAUUUAACCUGGGCCAGUUCCCAGGCUUUCUUUGCUUUGCAUGAUAUUAACACUUUUGAAGAGUACUGGUCACUUAGUUUAUAGAAUGUCCCUCAACUUGAAUUUAUCUGGUAUUUUCUCACAAUUAGAUUCAGGUUACACAUUUUUUGGCAGAAAUACAACAAAAGAGAUUUUGUAUUUUCUCAGUGCAUCAUAUCAGGAGGUAAGCAAUGUCGAUUCAUCCCAUUACAGGUGAUAUUGAACUUAAAUAUUAGGUUAUGAUGGCAUCUGACAGUUUUAUAAAUUUACUCAGUAUAAAGUUAUGGGUUUUUUGUUUGUAAUUAAUAAGUAUUUUACAGAGUGAUGCUUUGAGACUGUGUAAUGAUCCUGUUGUUCAUGACUCUUUGAGCCACUAGCUUUAGUAUCCAUUGAUGAUUCAAUUGAUUAAACAAUUUCUACCAUGAUAAUUGCAAAUGGUGAUUUUCUAAUUUCAUCACUUCUUCUAUACUUAUUAAUGAGCAUUCUACUGCAAGAAAGAGAUUUCCCUUUUCCCCUACUUACUUAGUUAUAACAGUUUUAACUAAGUGAUUUCCAUUUGAGUCAGUGGGUUAUAAUCUGUUAAUAUCAUGAUGUAUUCUGAUGCUUAAAUUCCCAGAUUUGGCCUUUGAGAGCCUCUUCCAACUGGUCCCAAGUCCUUUUCAUAUGUUCCCAUGAUUCUCUGAGCACUUACAUACUUUUCCGGCAGAAGAUGUUCCAGGCUCAUUUUGUAUUGUCCUUGCCCCAGCCUUUGAAUCAUUUUCCUAAGGAGUUUUGGUUCUUUUUAGUGAGGAAAGUAUUUAGAAACCAAGAUCUUGGUGAUAGGCAUGCUCAUUGCUACUGAGCAUCAUUGCUUUUUAGCCCUCUUAGUGACCAGACCCAGUAAAUAUAUAUAUGUGUCCACGUGCACACACACAUAUAUACCCACACUUUAUCUAUUUUUAUAUCUAUCUCUCUAUAUUAAAAAUGAUUAGUUCAAACCAUGAGUUCAUAACCUUAUGGAAUAACUCCAUAAGGUUUCAUUCUAGCUCCCUCCCUUUUCAUAUUUGUUAACUUCCUUUUCUAACGGUGAAAAACCUGGCUCCUAUUAUCUAUGACAUAUUGUCUUAUUUUCUUAAUCCUAAAAUAUACAGAGAAUGCUUUCAAAAUUGUUAACUCAUACCUCUGCAGGAGAAAAAGCAAACCAAAACUACUGACUUGCAUUCAAUGUUUACAGUUUUUGCCUGGCAAAGUCCAAAUACUUUCUUCAAAAGUUGCUCAACCUGGACAUGGCGGCUCAUGCCUGUAAUCCCAGCACAAUGGGAGGCCGAAGCAGGAGGAUCACUUGAGUCCAGCAGUUUGAGAGCAGCCUAGGAAACAUAGCAAGGUCCAGUCUACAGAAAAUCUAAAAAUUAGCUGAGUGUCAUGGUGCACGCCUACGAUCCCAGGUACUCCAGAGGCUGAGAGGCGGGAGGAUCACUUGAGUCUGGGAGGUUGAGGCUGCAAUGAGCUGUGAUCACGACAUUGCACUACAGCCUGGGCGAUGGGAGUGAAACCCUGUCU